Molecule: non-coding RNA, 672 nt
Filed under: Pongo abelii (Sumatran orangutan)
Lineage: Eukaryota; Metazoa; Chordata; Mammalia; Primates; Hominidae
Source: RNAcentral
GGGCUCGAGUUUCAACCACGUAGGACCGGCUAGAACACAGAAAUUCUAGUUUCCUCCCGGGACUAAAGGCUUCUUAGCACAAACACCACCCCUGGAGUUCCCAGUACAUCAAUACCAGCCUGGGGAUCACGUUCUCAUCAAGAGUUGGAAGAGGGAAAGCUUGAACCAGCUUAGGAGGACCUUAUCUGGUACUCUUGAUGAAUGAAACAGCAAUCUGAAUGGCUGAAAAAGGAUGGACCCAGCAUAUGCGGGGAGAAAACUUGGCAUUCUUUGGGAAUCUAACAGGAUGCAGUGAACCCAAGCCUUUUCAAGAGCUCAACAAUCAGACUGCCCUUGUCUAUCCAUGAGCAGAUGUUUGAUGGUAUUGCAGAGGACCUCUACUGGGUAUGCUGCCAAGCAACUGGAGUGGCACUUGGGCUCUAAUCCAAUUGUCUAUCCCUUUCACCCUGGCAUUUCAUCAGCCAAACAAAAACCAACUAACUCAGAAAAAAAGGAAAUCCCCUCAAGGGUCCUUUGACCCCGAUAUCUACAUAGAUGCUAUCGGGGUCCCCUGAGGGGUACCAAAUGAAUUCAAAGCUCAAAAUCAAAUAGCUGCUGGAUUCAAGUCUGUCCUGUUCUUGUGGUCUACUAUAAAUAAAAAUGUAGUCUGGAUAAAUUACAUAUAACCAACAA